GCUAAAUCUCAUUUUUCUCGAAGGAGGGAGGAUCUAGAGGCAAGAUCUAUGGUGAAUUAAAGAAUUGAGCUUGAAUUGCAAAGGUAAUUUGAUCCAAUUGAUUGAUUAAUUGAAAUUUGAGGAUUUUUCUCUUCAAAUUGUCUUGGAUGAUUACUACAAUGCAAGUUAGGUAGAUUAAUCAAAUUCUUAAUGCUAGAUUUGAUG
This 204-nucleotide long non-coding RNA is filed under the name Vitis vinifera (wine grape). Its description in RNAcentral is "long non-coding RNA (VVIN_LNC005351)". The record is from RNAcentral. Lineage: Eukaryota; Viridiplantae; Streptophyta; Magnoliopsida; Vitales; Vitaceae.